Molecule: non-coding RNA, 82 nt
Filed under: Sulfobacillus thermosulfidooxidans
Lineage: Bacteria; Bacillati; Bacillota; Clostridia; Eubacteriales; Clostridiales Family XVII. Incertae Sedis
Also listed under: 1 other name
Description: ZTP sequence
Rfam family: ZMP/ZTP riboswitch aptamer (pfl RNA motif)
About the family: Previously known as pfl RNA. ZMP is also known as AICAR.
Source: RNAcentral
UACACGUUACGUGACUGGCGGAUCAGUGGAUUAACCACAAGAAGCGUAACGGUUGUCGAAGCCGACCGCCUGGGCCUAAAGU